UACGUAGGGUGCGAGCGUUGUCCGGAAUUAUUGGGCGUAAAGAGCUUGUAGGCGGUUUGUCGCGUCUGCCGUGAAAAUUCGAGGCUCAACCUCGAACUUGCGGUGGGUACGGGCAGACUAGAGUGUGGUAGGGGAGACUGGAAUUCCUGGUGUAGCGGUGAAAUGCGCAGAUAUCAGGAGGAACACCGAUGGCGAAGGCAGGUCUCUGGGCCACUACAGACGCUGAGAAGCGAAAGCAUGGGGAGCGAACAGG
RNAcentral lists this ribosomal RNA (253 nucleotides) under uncultured bacterium. RNAcentral describes it as "partial 16S ribosomal RNA". It matches the Rfam family "Bacterial small subunit ribosomal RNA", at positions 524 to 776 of the family's 1533-position model. The record is from RNAcentral.